RNAcentral lists this non-coding RNA (22 nucleotides) under Arabidopsis thaliana (thale cress). Lineage: Eukaryota; Viridiplantae; Streptophyta; Magnoliopsida; Brassicales; Brassicaceae. The record is from RNAcentral.
AAAGGGGGUGAAUGAAUGGAUC